UGGAGCCAACCUUGAAAUACCACCCUUUAAUGUUUGAUGUUCUAACGUUGCCCCAUUAUCUGGGGUGCGGACAGUGUCUGGUGGGUAGUUUGACUGGGGCGGUCUCCUCCCAAAGAGUAACGGAGGAGCACGAAGGUUGGCUAAGCAUGGUCGGACAUCAUGCGGUUAGUGCAAAGGCAUAAGCCAGCUUGACUGCGAGAGUGACGGCUCGAGCAGGUACGAAAGUAGGUCUUAGUGAUCCGGUGGUUCUGAAUGGAAGGGCCAUCGCUCAACGGAUAAAAGGUACUCCGGGGAUAACAGGCUGAUACCGCCCAAGAGUUCAUAUCGACGGCGGUGUUUGGCACCUCGAUGUCGGCUCAUCACAUCCUGGGGCUGAAGUAGGUCCCAAGGGUACGGCUGUUCGCCGUUUAAAGUGGUACGCGAGCUGGGUUUAGAACGUCGUGAGACAGUUCGGUCCCUAUCUGCCGUGGGCGUUGGAAGAUUGAAAGGGGCUGCUCCUAGUACGAGAGGACCGGAGUGGACGCACCACUGGUGUUCGGGUUGUCAUGCCAAUGGCAUUGCCCGGUAGCUAAGUGCGGAAGAGAUAACCGCUGAAAGCAUCUAAGCGGGAAACUUGCCUUGAGAUGAGUCUUCCCUGACUCUUUAAGAGUCCUAAAGGAACGUUUAAGACUAAGACGUUGAUAGGUUGGGUGUGUAAGCGUAGCGAUACGUUGAGCUAACCAAUACUAAUGAACCGUGAGGCUUAACCUG
Molecule: ribosomal RNA, 750 nt
Filed under: Providencia rettgeri
Lineage: Bacteria; Pseudomonadati; Pseudomonadota; Gammaproteobacteria; Enterobacterales; Morganellaceae
Description: partial 23S ribosomal RNA
Rfam family: Bacterial large subunit ribosomal RNA
Source: RNAcentral